GUGAUUUUUUUUUCUACGAAGGAUUGACUUGAAUUACAUGACAAAGUCGUUCACUUCAUUUUCAGUCAGCCACCAAAUACUAUUUCGACCGAUACCAGCCAUAGAGGUGUACCGCUAAAUCAGAAGUGAGAAACCCACGUUACUCUGAAAUGUAAUUUACUGGGACUUCAAGUUCUUUCCCUAUUUGUGUUUUGUGUAAGAAGGAAAGCCGGGUCGAAAGUAUGAAGAGUAUAUAAUGAGUUUUAUAAUUUGUUUCGUACCAACAUUUCCUCCCUACACCUCUAGAUAAAGAAUACAUCACUAGUUGAAUAAGACGACAGGCGAAAUUUGAAGUUCCAGUCACAUCUACACAACAAUUUUUGACUCAACUCUCAGUAUAGUCAGAAAACAUGGCGCGACACAUUUCUUACGUUCUUCACUCCGGUUUCUAAAUUGUUCCUCACUUCUUUUUUGAAUGGUCAUUCACAAUAGAAACCAAAUUGUCCUCAUACCUUACCAUCUAGAAAGGUUACAUCAGAUAAUGCAGUUGUAAUUAGCUAUAAAAAUAAACGAGGUGAAUCAUUCACGAUAAACCUACUCAGUCAGAAUUGACCUGGGGUUAAAUAACUACAGCCUCCAUUUACAACCAACCAACGCCAUUAUUCAGUCAAAGGACUCAACCCAACAUGAUAGACCAUUUCUCUUUUAAAGGUACGCAUCAACGAGUCUGUUGAUUGCUGUUUUGACGAUGUAAACCAAAAUAUUUCUUCUUUAGGUUACAGUAAAUCUUUUUCAUUUAU
Molecule: long non-coding RNA, 779 nt
Organism: Octopus sinensis (East Asian common octopus)
Lineage: Eukaryota; Metazoa; Mollusca; Cephalopoda; Octopoda; Octopodidae
Exons: 2
Source: RefSeq, a predicted model, not a curated record